CCCUUUGUGCACCACCGCGUGGGCCCCCUUCGGGGGGCUCGCGUUUUCNCACAAAACCCCCCUUUUAAAAGUGUAGAAUGACCUCUUUUUAUGAAAUCAAUACAACUUUCAACAACGGAUCUCUUGGCUCUCGCAUCGAUGAAGAACGCAGCGAAAUGCGAUACGUAAUGUGAAUUGCAGAAUUCAGUGAAUCAUCGAAUCUUUGAACGCACCUUGCGCCCCUUGCUAUUCCGAUGGGCACACCCGUUUGAGUGUCGUGAAAACCUCAACCUCCCUGGUUUCUUCUGGAGACCAAAGGAGGCUUGGACUUUGGAGGCCUUUGCUGGCGUCUCUGCCAGCUCCUCUCAAAUGAAUUAGUGGGGUCCUCUUUGCUGAUCCUUGACAUGUGAUAAGAUGCUUCCGUGUCUCGGUUUCUGGCUCUGUUGCUUUUGGGACCCGCUUCUAACCGUCUAGACCUCGCGUCGAGACAAUGUUCGAGCACACGUCUCCCUUGUCGGGAA
Molecule: unclassified non-coding RNA, 500 nt
Filed under: fungal sp. VI-03M
Lineage: Eukaryota; Fungi
Description: partial contains 18S rRNA, ITS1, 5.8S rRNA, ITS2 and 28S RNA
Rfam family: 5.8S ribosomal RNA (bases 104-257)
Source: RNAcentral